CAGGGCUUGAACCCAGGUCUUCCUGACAUGAAGGCAGAUCCUUAACACCCUUCCUCAGAGACCCACAUACAUGCAGCACAAAUAUCAUGAUAUGGAAAGUUUCAAAUGGUGCCAGAGUCUGGAAGUAUUCAUAGAAAAGCUUCCAAGUAACUGAAGAUAUUAAUACCACAAAAUACACUUUAAGUCUCAAGAGACAUUGGAAAGAAUCAUUAACUUCAAGUAUUAGCUGCAUUUGUUUUAAUGGAAAUUCACUAGCUAUGGAAUGAAACAAUCACUUGCAGGUUUGAAAAACUGUAAAUCAUAAGUUACAAAAGCUAAACCAUUAGAAGCAUUUAUUGAAGUUUAAAACUGUGUUAAGAUUUUGGGACAACUUGUAUAAUAUACCUGGCAGAAAUAAAUUUCAAAUUUAUUCUACUAUAAGCUGUGUUUGCCAAUAUCAAGGAGAUACUUGGCUUGAACGUUAUGGAUAAAUAUAUAUAAAUGUAUAUAAGUGUACAAAUAUCAAGAACUUCAAGGAAAACAUAGGCUACCCAAAAAUUCAAUCAUCAUUUAGUUGCUGAUUUUUUCUCUUCACCGAAUAGGCUAGAUUUUCAGAUAGGCUUAUAGUGAUUGCACAGGAUGAAUUGGCAUGUGGAAGAACUUCAGCCAAGCAAACCAUUCAUGAGAUUGUUGCAGUAUUUAAAGGUUGUUGCAAUGAGGUUAAGAUGGAGAUAGAGGAAGGAGUUAAUUUGAGAAAAACUAUUAAUAAUAGCUCACAUUUAUAAAAUGCUUAAUUGUUUAGAGAGUAUAUCCUUAACAAAUAUUCUUUUUCUUCAGAUGCCCAUGACCUGGAAGACUGAGGGACCAUCCUUAAUGAUAUUUAGAAAUCAACAUCAGAUCUUGAAGUUUUAUAUAAAUAUGUAAUUUUGCCGUUAGGAAGAGGAAGAAUCGAUUACAAUCAUCCAGGGAGCUGCUGACUGAUUAACAUGUUCUACGAUCUGUGUAAUCAAUUGUUUAUCAUGAAAUGAAUCAACAGCUGCAGAACCCAGUUGGAAAUAACCCAGGAGCAAAGGAAAACAAGUUGUUUUUU
RNAcentral lists this long non-coding RNA (1069 nucleotides) under Monodelphis domestica (gray short-tailed opossum). RNAcentral describes it as "lncRNA (ENSMODG00000038813.1)". Lineage: Eukaryota; Metazoa; Chordata; Mammalia; Didelphimorphia; Didelphidae. The record is from RNAcentral.